UUGAAGAAGACUGACAUUAAGCAUUCAAAAUUGGGUUGCUUGGAUUACAAGUUACAAGUCUGAGCUUUACAAUAAGAGAAAAUCAUUACAAAAAUAUUUUCAAAAUGAGAAUUACAGGGAAAGAUCAAUUGUUGACUAUUGACCUAAAAUUUGACUCUUGACUUUAAAGUCCUAAAAACUAUCCCACUCCAAUCUUCAAUCUUUCAUCUUCUUAAUUUGUUUUCAGGGCCAUGCCAACCAUGUCAAGCACACGCCUAAGUAAACCUGCAUAACAGAUCAACUCCAAUAUCAGUGCAGUGCAAACCAGUUCAAUUAUUAACUAAAUAAAAUAUCUCUACAUUUCAUAUUUUGUCUUAACAUUAACACUUCAAACAAGCUAGAAAGACUCCAAUUCACAUAGCAUGAUAGUUGCAUUCAUAUCUACAUGUUAUUUUCCACAAUCAGCCUCCUAACAUCAUAAUCAAUUGUUUAUUAACAGUGUCGUGAUUUCAACAUCACAUUAACAUUAAAACUGUCCCUAAUGCUAACCUAUACAUCACAUCCAAAGCGCUAAUCUCACUCUACCUUUCAUUAACAUAAUUACAGGGCAAACAACUGGGACUUCAAACCAUUUAUAUGAGGACCCUAUUGUUCCUAACUAACAUAACCUCAAAUAACAUCCAAUGCAAGCUCUAACAUACAUUCACCAACAGUCAUGAAUCCAUGGCAUAUGCAUUAACCAUAAUAGCCUUGAAACCAAUCCCAAAUAACAUAAACAUACAACCAAAAUCACACUAACAUGUCAACAUUAACAUAGCAGUCCAAACAAACUUCAAGCAUAACACAUCAUCAUAUUAAAUUUUAGCAAAGGCAUUCAUUAAUGCAGCUAAAUUCCAUUCAUCAACCUAGUCAGCCUAACAGUCCAAUCUCAUGACAAUUAAGCUACUAACUUGCAUCACUAAUUCAAUAACAGUCAAACUAUCUAACUUGUAGUGCAAUAUUAUAACAACAAUGCAAAUUCACUUCAGUUCAAAAAGGACUAAUCAACUAACCAUAACUAAGGUUCAACAUCAAAACCAACUGACAUCAUACAUAUAUAGCAUAACAUUCAAUCCAAAGCACCCGCAUACUUAAUCAUAAACAACAAUUCAUUUCAGAACACAGUUCAAGCCUAUUUAAAUUCAGCUUAGGACAAAACACCAUUCAGUUCUAGCUCAUUUUUGCAAUCAAAAUCCUCUCAUAAGUCCAGCCACUUAAGCCAUUUAACCUAAUUCUAGCUCAGAACUUACUAACAGUUCAACUUUCUAAUACUCCCUAACAUUCAGUUCAUAACUUUUUUUGCAUUGACAAAGUAAAAUCAACUAACUUCUAAAAUUCCGCACUAACAAACUAACUCAAUGCUAACAGUCACCAAGUUCAAAUUUCAAUACUAACUCUAACUGAUAACCAACUAAUUCAAACGGUUUCACAAUUAGAUUAACAUUCCAAAUAGUUUCCAAUUUCACAAUUGUAAUCAACUACAAAUAAUAGCUUUAACAAAUCACUCUCAACCUUACUAAUUGAACUCGACUCUUAACUCUAACUAGUUCAAACUUAACUAACUCAACCGCAACUAACAGAAUCAUAACACUGUUAAAAUUCCUAGCAGACUUUCCUUUCAAUUUCACUAAUAAUUAACCCUACCCUAACCAUGCUAACAGACUUGACCAACCUACCCUAACCACGUUUGAACAAAAUGAAAAAUGAGAUGGAGAUUCUAAACCCUCCUGUCUUAC
RNAcentral lists this long non-coding RNA (1754 nucleotides) under Lathyrus oleraceus (garden pea). RNAcentral describes it as "Pisum sativum (pea) long non-coding RNA (PSAT_LNC030863)". Lineage: Eukaryota; Viridiplantae; Streptophyta; Magnoliopsida; Fabales; Fabaceae. The record is from RNAcentral.